GACGAACGCUGGCGGCGUGCUUAACACAUGCAAGUCGAACGGGCCUUGUCCCCUUUUUUUUUGGGGGUGGGGUUAGUGGCGAACGGGUGAGUAACACGUGAGUAACCUGCCCCUCACUUCUGGAUAACCGCUUGAAAGGGUGGCUAAUACGGGGUGUUCUGGCCUGCUCGCAUGGGUGGGUUUGGAAAGAUUCGACCGGUUUGGUUGUUUUGGUGGGGUGUGGGCUCGCGGCCUAUCAGCUUGUUGGUGGGGUGAGGGCCUGCCAAGGCUUUGACGGGUAGCCGGCCUGAGAGGGUGGGCGGUCACACUGGGACUGAGACACGGCCCAGACUCCUACGGGAGGCAGCAGUGGGGAAUAUUGCACAAUGGGCGCAAGCCUGAUGCAGCGACGCCGCGUGAGGGAUGGAGGCCUUCGGGUUGUGAACCUCUUUCGCCAGUGAAGAAGGUCCUGCUCUUUGUGGUGGGGUUGACGGUAGCUGGGUUAAUGAAGCGCCGGCUAACUACGUG
RNAcentral lists this ribosomal RNA (507 nucleotides) under uncultured bacterium. RNAcentral's name for it is "partial 16S ribosomal RNA". It matches the Rfam family "Bacterial small subunit ribosomal RNA", at positions 28 to 507 of the family's 1533-position model. The record is from RNAcentral.